Molecule: ribosomal RNA, 188 nt
Filed under: uncultured bacterium
Lineage: Bacteria
Description: partial 16S ribosomal RNA
Rfam family: Bacterial small subunit ribosomal RNA
Source: RNAcentral
CGACUACAUGAAGCUGGAAUCGCUAGUAAUCGCAGAUCAGAAUGCUGCGGUGAAUACGUUCCCGGGUCUUGUACACACCGCCCGUCACACCAUGGGAGUCGGAUAUGCCCGAAGCCAGUGACCCAACCGUAAGGAGGGAGCUGUCGAAGGUGGAGCCGAUAACUGGGGUGAAGUCGUAACAAGGUAGC